AGCAGCCGCGGUAAUUCCAGCUCCAAUAGCGUAUAUUAAAGUUGUUGCAGUUAAAAAGCUCGUAGUUGAAUUUCGGGAUCAAAUUGUCGGUCGUGCCUCGGUACGUACUGGCGUUAUUGGUUCCUCCCUUCUGAAGAACCGCGAUGUCAUUAAUUUGGUGUCGCGGGGGAAUCAGGACUGUUACUUUGAAAAAAUUAGAGUGUUUAAAGCAGGCUCGCGCUUGAAUACAUUAGCAUGGAAUAAUGAAAUAGGACGUUUGAUUCUAUUUUGUUGGUUUCUAGGAUCGACGUAAUGAUUAAUAGGGAUAGUUGGGGGCAUUAGUAUUCAAUUGUCAGAGGUGAAAUUCUUGGAUUUAUUGAAGACUAACUACUGCGAAAGCAUUUGCCAAGGAUGUUUUCAUUAAUUCAAGAACGAAAGUUAGGGGAUCGAAGACGAUCAGAUACCGUCGUAGUCUUAACCAUAAACUGUGCCGACUAGGGAUCGGAUGAUGUUAAUUUUUUAAUGACUCAUUCGGCGCCUU
Molecule: ribosomal RNA, 520 nt
Filed under: uncultured Glomus
Lineage: Eukaryota; Fungi; Glomeromycota; Glomeromycetes; Glomerales; Glomeraceae
Description: SSU rRNA
Rfam family: Eukaryotic small subunit ribosomal RNA
Source: RNAcentral